RNAcentral lists this ribosomal RNA (459 nucleotides) under uncultured bacterium. RNAcentral's name for it is "partial 16S ribosomal RNA". It matches the Rfam family "Bacterial small subunit ribosomal RNA", at positions 338 to 795 of the family's 1533-position model. The record is from RNAcentral.
CCUACGGGUGGCUGCAGUGAGGAAUAUUGGUCAAUGGGAGCGAGCCUGAACCAGCCAAGUCGCGUGAGGGAAGACGGUACUAUGGAUUGUAAACCUCUUUUGUCGGGGAGCAAAAGACGCCACGCGUGGCGUUCCGAGAGUCCCCGAAGAAAAAGCAUCGGCGAACUCCGUGCCAGCAGCCGCGGUAAUACGGGGGAUGCGAGCUUUAUCCGGAUUUAUUGGGUUUACAGGGUGCGCAGGCGGAAGAUCAAGUCAGCGGUAAAAUUGUGAGGCUCCACCUCUUCGAGCCGUUGACACUGGUUUUCUUGAGUGAGCGAGAAGUAUGCGGAAUGCGUGGGGUAGCGGGGAAAUGCAUAGAUAUCACGCAGAACUCAGAUUGCGAAGGCAGCAUACCGGCGCUCAACUGACGCUCAUGCACGAAAGUGUGGGUAUCGAACAGGAUUAGAUACCCUUGUAGUC